UAGGGAAUCUUCGGCAAUGGGGGGAACCCUGACCGAGCAACGCCGCGUGAGUGAAGAAGGUUUUCGGAUCGUAAAGCUCUGUUGUUAAGGAAGAAAGAGUGUGAGAAUGGAAAGUUCAUGCUGUGACGGUACUUAACCAGAAAGGGACGGCUAACUACGUGCCAGCAGCCGCGGUAAUACGUAGGUCCCGAGCGUUGUCCGGAUUUAUUGGGCGUAAAGCGAGCGCAGGCGGUUAGAAAAGUCUGAAGUGAAAGGCAGUGGCUCAACCAUUGUAGGCUUUGGAAACUGUUUAACUUGAGUGCAGAAGGGGAGAGUGGAAUUCCAUGUGUAGCGGUGAAAUGCGUAGAUAUAUGGAGGAACACCGGUGGCGAAAGCGGCUCUCUGGUCUGUAACUGACGCUGAGGCUCGAAAGCGUGGGGAGCGAACAGG
RNAcentral lists this ribosomal RNA (429 nucleotides) under Bacteroidota bacterium. Its description in RNAcentral is "Bacteroidetes bacterium partial 16S ribosomal RNA". It matches the Rfam family "Bacterial small subunit ribosomal RNA", at positions 355 to 776 of the family's 1533-position model. The record is from RNAcentral. Lineage: Bacteria; Pseudomonadati; Bacteroidota.